This 241-nucleotide ribosomal RNA is filed under the name uncultured bacterium. Its description in RNAcentral is "partial 16S ribosomal RNA". It matches the Rfam family "Bacterial small subunit ribosomal RNA", at positions 91 to 334 of the family's 1533-position model. The record is from RNAcentral.
CUAAGUGGCGGACGGGUGAGUAAUGUAUAGUUAAUCUGCCCUUUAGAGGGGGAUAACAGUUGGAAACGACUGCUAAUACCCCAUACUCCUUUUACAUUAAUUGUAAUUGGGAAACGUUUUUUCGCUAAAAGAUGAGGCUAUAUGGUAUCAGGUAGUUGGUGGGGUAAGAGCCCACCAAGCCAAUGACGCCUAGCUGGUCUGAGAGGAUGAUCAGCCACACUGGAACUGAGACACGGUCCAG